UGUUUACAAGGACUAUUAUUACAAACCAUGAAUUACAUAAUAAAUAAAAGCUAUACUAUAGGUUGCCUGAAAUAGGCCCAACGUGAACCUGGAAAUACCAAGCCUUCAAACAGUCCCAGAUGCCAUAGUUCCCAAGGGCCUCGGGGACCCCGAGCAAUGCUCACACUAAGAUCCUUUUAAAUAUGAGAAUAGUCAUGUGCAUGGUGGAAGGGCCAGUCCCAGUGCGCCAGAGUUCGUAGGAUCUCAUGGAUCCCUAGGCAGUACACACACUGGAGGGGCAAAGCUUAAGUAAUCUAGGAGGAGAAGUGAGAGUGCUUGAUAUAGUUGAUUUUUUAAAACAAUAUAGAGGUAAAAUCUUUAGGAGUGAGAAUACUUUGGGAGUAGUAAUAGUUUCAACUUUACUUUGUCAAUUAGUUCUAGAUGUACAAACAAUUACACAAAAGAGAGCAGGGGUUGGGAACACAAGACAUUUGAAACAUGAGCACAUAAGAAGAUAGGUUGAGGCAGUCCUGUUAGUUAAUAGAGACACAUAGCAGGCAGGAAUACUGAUUUAAGUUCUAAAUUACAAUCAUACUUAGUGAUAAGCAUGCUAUUUAAGAACACACAAGACUUAAGCACAAGCAAUAUGUUGGCUAAACACAGUGAGACAUAAGUCUGGGUACAGAAGCAAUCAUGCUAAAGAAUACAGGAAGAACCAAAAAGAUUCAAUCACACAAAGUACCCGUACUAAUUGGGGUUACAGGACAAGGAAGACACAAAAAGUAAACAUGAUAUUUAAAACCAUAUUGAAUACUUAAAAAGAAUAGAAUUACUGAUUAAAACACUGAAUAAGAGAAGGUAAAACUAAAGCAUACUGAUCACACCAACAAACAGGAAAGAAUAAAUAAGUGCCUAAGCAAUUAAACUAGUGCAGAAAGAGACAUGGAUUCAACAAGGAGCACAUAGAUUUGAAUUUCGGAAUGACAUUGAAAUAGGAACAUACCAGUAAAGGAAGAAAAAGCAAAAAGUAAAGUGACCAGAAUUCACAGUCUAGCCUUGGCUUUUAACCAGCUAGACAAGCAAGGAGCACAAGUAGCAGAAAGAGAGAUGAGAGAAAGUUUUUGUGUAUGUGUUUUUCAAACUACUGUUCGUGUAUGUAAGGAAGAAUAAUAGUGUGUAGAUAUAGGAGUCGAAUAAUCUAAGUAAAUAAGGCAAUGCAAAUUAACAUUGCAGAAUAAGGUAAGGAAGUAAUCAAAUAAUCAAUUAAGCUUGAAAAGGGAUAGAAAAUCAGGGAAUUAUUCCCAUAAAUGACUCGGAUUGAGUUUUAAUAAGGCAAUAAGUGGGUUUAACGACCAAUUAGGGUUAAAGCCCAUAAAUCAAGCAAUUAAUCAUACGAAUAAGGCAAUCAUACGUAAUUAGAGACCAAUCAAGAAUCAGUCAAUCCCAUAAUAGGCAAGAGAUGCUAAUUAGGGAUCUCUGGAUUAAGGUAAGUGAGCAGAAAUCAGUAAUGAAACCCUAGAUAAUUUAGCUAAUCAGUCAAUUAUUCAAAUAAUAAUGGACGAGAAUAUUGAAGUUACUAAACAAACAACCAAGUAAUCGAACCAGGAACAUAACCAUAUGAGAAAGAUUAAACAAAACAUAAGGAUCUUAGGAAAGUCUUUUUUUUAAAACAGGAGUGGAAAUCCUAAAUUUUUUAGAAAUACUUAGGGUUGAUUAAUAGAAGGAAGAUCAGAAGAAUCUUAAAGAAACAAUCAUUGAAACUCGAAACUACUUCAAACACAGAGGUUCGACCAACAAAUAAUGAGAAAACCAAACCUUAAUAUAAAUAAAGUGCUUAAAAAUCAGUUGAUCAUUAAAGAAAUAAGGUAACCUCAAGGAAAAAUCAGUGAUGAAAUCAAAAUCGCUCUAGAUCUACAAGGAUCUGGAUAUAUUCGAGUCCAAACAUUAGGUUUUUGAAGAAAAAAAGAAAGGGUAAAGAGAAUCUGGUCUUGAAUCAGAGAUUUGAGCCGUAAAACAUCGAUAGAAAGCACUCACAUACCAUAGACAGACUCUUGGAGAGUUCUGAACAAGAUCUGGGCUAGAUCUCUUCAAGAUCCUUCCAUGAAAUCAUAAAAUCGAGCAACCAUGGAAAGUAGAAGGCAUGUAAGAGUCUCAAAUAGCCAUAGAAAUCCAUGCAACGGGUAGGAAUCGAAACUAUUAGGAUUGGUUUUGGGUGGUAGCAAUUAGUGUAAGAGUUUGGUCUCAGAGAGAAUCAAAGAAGAGAGAGUUUUAGGGCGGCGGAAAUGAAAGAAAU
Molecule: long non-coding RNA, 2272 nt
Filed under: Nicotiana benthamiana
Lineage: Eukaryota; Viridiplantae; Streptophyta; Magnoliopsida; Solanales; Solanaceae
Description: long non-coding RNA (NBEN_LNC017509)
Source: RNAcentral